Molecule: ribosomal RNA, 433 nt
Filed under: uncultured bacterium
Lineage: Bacteria
Description: partial 16S ribosomal RNA
Rfam family: Bacterial small subunit ribosomal RNA
Source: RNAcentral
AACGAACGCUGGCGGCAUGCCUAACACAUGCAAGUCGAACGAGACCUUCGGGUCUAGUGGCGCACGGGUGCGUAACGCGUGGGAACCUGCCCUUAGGUUCGGAAUAACUCCCCGAAAGGGGUGCUAAUACCGGAUAAUGUCUUCGGACCAAAGAUUUAUCGCCUUUGGAUGGGCCCGCGUUGGAUUAGCUAGUUGGUAGGGUAAAAGCCUACCAAGGCGACGAUCCAUAGCUGGUCGGAGAGGAUGAUCAGCCACACUGGGACUGAGACACGGCCCAGACUCCUACGGGAGGCAGCAGUGGGGAAUAUUGGACAAUGGGCGAAAGCCUGAUCCAGCAAUGCCGCGUGAGUGAUGAAGGCCUUAGGGUUGUAAAGCUCUUUUACCCGGGAUGAUAAUGACAUUACCGGGAGAAUAAGCUCCGGCUAACUCCGUG